RNAcentral lists this transfer RNA (75 nucleotides) under Myotis davidii. It matches the Rfam family "tRNA". From Rfam's summary of the family: Transfer RNA (tRNA) molecules are approximately 80 nucleotides in length. Their secondary structure includes four short double-helical elements and three loops (D, anti-codon, and T loops). Further hydrogen bonds mediate the characteristic L-shaped molecular structure. tRNAs have two regions of fundamental functional importance: the anti-codon, which is responsible for specific mRNA codon recognition, and the 3' end, to which the tRNAs corresponding amino acid is attached (by aminoacyl-tRNA synthetases). tRNAs cope with the degeneracy of the genetic code in two manners: having more than one tRNA (with a specific anti-codon) for a particular amino acid; and 'wobble' base-pairing, i.e. permitting non-standard base-pairing at the 3rd anti-codon position. The record is from Rfam by way of RNAcentral. Lineage: Eukaryota; Metazoa; Chordata; Mammalia; Chiroptera; Vespertilionidae.
GCCCUUGUGGCUCAGUGGUAGAGCAUAGGUCCACCUAGGAGCCAGAAGGUCAGGGUUCGAUUCCUGGUCAGAGCA